This 587-nucleotide ribosomal RNA is filed under the name uncultured bacterium. RNAcentral describes it as "bacterial SSU rRNA". It matches the Rfam family "Bacterial small subunit ribosomal RNA", at positions 139 to 744 of the family's 1533-position model. The record is from RNAcentral.
GGGGACAACAGCUGGAAACGGCUGCUAAUACCGCAUAAGCCUACAGUACCGCAUGGUACAGCAGGAAAAACUCCGGUGGUACAGGAUGGGCCCGCGUCUGAUUAGUUAGUUGGCAGGGUAACGGCCUACCAAGACAACGAUCAGUAGCCGGCUUGAGAGAGUGAACGGCCACAUUGGGACUGAGACACGGCCCAAACUCCUACGGGAGGCAGCAGUGGGGAAUAUUGCACAAUGGGGGGAACCCUGAUGCAGCAACGCCGCGUGAGUGAAGAAGUAUUUCGGUAUGUAAAGCUCUAUCAGCAGGGAAGAAAAUGACGGUACCUGACUAAGAAGCUCCGGCUAAAUACGUGCCAGCAGCCGCGGUAAUACGUAUGGAGCAAGCGUUAUCCGGAUUUACUGGGUGUAAAGGGAGCGCAGGCGGUACGGCAAGUCCGAUGUGAAAACCCGGGGCUCAACCCCGGGACUGCAUUGGAAACUGCCGCACUAGAGUGCCGGAGAGGUAAGUGGAAUUCCUAGUGUAGCGGUGAAAUGCGUAGAUAUUAGGAGGAACACCAGUGGCGAAGGCGGCUUACUGGACGGUAACUGAC